UUGGGGCCGGGACUGGUCUUGCUGGCGGGUGGGUGAGGGUUCCGGUGAGGGAGGAGUCGCUGAUUGUGUUCUCCCUCUGCGUUUUCUCCUGCUGGCCCCGUCGGGGGUGUGGAAAUGCCGGGUCCAGCUCCCACUCUUCCGCCUGCCUGGGUCUGGCCUGGAGAUGGCAAGUCCUUCUCAGGACAUCUCAGCCAGGCUUGGGGUAACCCCUCCCCCCUUUUUUGGGCUCUGUGCCUCACAUUUUGUCGCAGGGAGCUCCUUAGCUCACCCCCCAUCGUUUCCAUCUUCUUCCCUGGUCCCCUAGGGCGCUUCAACGAGAAGAGUGUGUGAGAGUUGCCUGUAGCUGACAGCAACAGCGCAUUUCCCUAGACCAGGCACUGGGCUUUAUCCACGAUCUCGUUCAAGCUUUGAGGUCGUUCUUGAAGCAAUUUAGGAUUACAGAAAAAUUGCGAAGAUGGUGGAGCGUUCGCAUGUCUCCCACGCCCAGUUUCCCCGUUAUUGACGUCUUCCACUACCGGGCGUGUCUGCACAGUCAAUGAGCCAAGACUGCUAAGUCAUUAUUACUCACGUCCAUAUUUGAUUCAGUCUUCCUGAGUGCUUGCCCGGUGUCCUUUCUCUGUUCCGGGAUCCCACAUUCUAUGGAGUCAUCGCAUCUCCUGACGUCCCUCUUGGAUGUGACAGUUUCUUGGACUUCCCUUGCUUUUGAUGACUGACCAUUUUGAGGAGCGCUUGGCCAGCAUUUUGAGGAAUGUCCCUCAAUUGGGGUUUAUCUGAUGUUUUUCUCUUGACUAGACUAGGGUUAUGGAUUUUUGGGAGGAAGAGCACAGAGAUUGAGUGCCCUUCUCAUGACGUCAUAUCAAGGGUACAUGCUGUCGACAUGCUUAUCACUGCCGAUGUUGACCUUGGUCACCCGCCCAGACAGUGUCUGCCAGCUGUCUCCUCCGGCAGGAGACUCUCCCGCUCUCCUUUUCCACACUCCCCCUUUGGAGGGAAGGUCACCGUGUGCUGUCCGCACUUAAGGAGCGGGGGUCGUGUGCCACUUCCUUGGGAGGAGCCACACAGAUUAUCUGGAAUCUUAUGCAGGAGAUUUGUCUCUUCUUCCUGUUUAUUAAUUUGUGCAAUAAUUCACAUCACUAUGGA
Molecule: non-coding RNA, 1140 nt
Organism: Equus caballus (horse)
Lineage: Eukaryota; Metazoa; Chordata; Mammalia; Perissodactyla; Equidae
Source: RefSeq, a predicted model, not a curated record